AAUAACCGGACCAAUUCACAUGAAAAUGCCAACAGUCAUUCCCUAUGCCUAGGAGAGUUAACCAAAAAAUUAUAAGAGUAAAACAAUCAUCGAUAUUCACCAAAGAGAUGUUUUUGGAUUCAACCACAUUAACUUGACACCCUUUUAUUAUUAAAACUUGGCAAAAGUAGAAAUAGAGGCAAUAAUCCAACAUCAAACUUUGGCAUCACUUAUGAGCUAAUCAUUAAAAAGGAAGAAAGAAAUUGAACGAGAGGUGGACAAAUAGCAAAUUAAAAAAAAAAGCAAAAACAUCUAAGAAAAACUAAAAGUAGAAAAACUAGCACAGCUGCCCCCACACCUAGAUCCUACAUUGCCCUCAAU
RNAcentral lists this long non-coding RNA (360 nucleotides) under Coffea arabica (coffee). Its description in RNAcentral is "long non-coding RNA (CARA_LNC000244)". The record is from RNAcentral. Lineage: Eukaryota; Viridiplantae; Streptophyta; Magnoliopsida; Gentianales; Rubiaceae.